GGGUCUGUCCAUUGGUUGGGCUUUACGGUCCGUACUGGUGAGAUGGGUUCCUACCUUCUGAAUAACCGGCAUGCCAUUCAGUUGGUGCGCCGGGGAAGCAGAGCUAUUACCUUGAAAAAAUUAGAGUGCUUAAAGCAGGCUAUUGCUUGAACAGAUUAGCAUGGAAUAAUAAAAUAGGACGGCAUGGUUCUAUUUUGUUGGUUUCUAGGAUCACCGUA
This 218-nucleotide ribosomal RNA is filed under the name Glomeromycotina sp. Its description in RNAcentral is "partial small subunit ribosomal RNA". The stretch from base 93 to 218 matches the Rfam family "Eukaryotic small subunit ribosomal RNA", at positions 738 to 864 of the family's 1831-position model. The record is from RNAcentral. Lineage: Eukaryota; Fungi; Glomeromycota.